RNAcentral lists this ribosomal RNA (245 nucleotides) under uncultured bacterium. RNAcentral describes it as "partial 16S ribosomal RNA". It matches the Rfam family "Bacterial small subunit ribosomal RNA", at positions 88 to 334 of the family's 1533-position model. The record is from RNAcentral.
AUGGCGACCGGCGCACGGGUGAGUAACGCGUAUGCAACCUGCCCGAUACCGGGGUAUAGCCCGUGGAAACGUGGAUUAACACCCCAUAGUACUUUUAUCCUGCAUGGGAUGUGAGUUAAAUGUUCAAGGUAUCGGAUGGGCAUGCGUCCUAUUAGUUAGUUGGCGGGGUAACAGCCCACCAAGACGAUGAUAGGUAGGGGUUCUGAGAGGAAGGUCCCCCACAUUGGAACUGAGACACGGUCCAA